CGAGAGGCCUAACACAUGCAAGUCGAGGGGUAACAGGGGAGCUUGCUCCCGCUGACGACCGGCGCACGGGUGAGUAACGCGUAUGCAACCUGCCCGCCACAGGGGGAUAGCCUUCCGAAAGGGAGAUUAAUACCGCAUAAGACCACGGCCUGGGCAUCCAGGAGGGGUAAAAUAUUCAUAGGUGGCGGCUGGGCAUGCGUGACAUUAGCUAGUUGGCGGGGCAACGGCCCACCAAGGCGACGAUGUCUAGGGGAACUGAGAGGUCGAUCCCCCACACUGGUACUGAGACACGGACCAGACUCCUACGGGAGGCAGCAGUGAGGAAUAUUGGUCAAUGGAGGAAACUCUGAACCAGCCAUCUCGCGUGAAGGACUACGGCCCUACGGGUCUUAAACUUCUUUUAUAGGGGGAUAAAGUCGCAUACGAGUAUGUGAUUGCAGGUACCCUAUGAAUAAGCAUCGGCUAACUCCGUGCCAGCAGCCGCGGUAAUACGGAGGAUGCGAGCGUUAUCCGGAUUUAUUGGGUUUAAAGGGUGCGCAGGCGGCGCGUUAAGUCAGCGGUGAAAUGUCGGGGCUCAACCCCGGCACUGCCGUUGAAACUGGCGUGCUCGAGUACGGAUGAAGCGGGCGGAAUGUGAUGUGUAGCGGUGAAAUGCUUAGAUAUGUCACAGAACACCGAUUGCGAAGGCAGCUCGCUAAUCCGCAACUGACGCUCAUGCACGAAAGCGUGGGGAUCGAACAGGAUUAGAUACCCUGGUAGUCCACGCAGUAAACGAUGAAGGCUAGCUAUUGGCGAUAUACAGUCAGUGGCCAAGGGAAACCGAUAAGCCUUCCACCUGGGGAGUACGCCGGCAACGGUGAAACUCAAAGGAAUUGACGGGGGCCCGCACAAGCGGAGGAACAUGUGGUUUAAUUCGAUGAUACGCGAGGAACCUUACCCGGGCUCAAACGACAGGGGAAUUAAUCGGAAACGGUUAAGCUAGCAAUAGUCGCUGUCGAGGUGCUGCAUGGUUGUCGUCAGCUCGUGCCGUGAGGUGUCGGCUUAAGUGCCAUAACGAGCGCAACCCCUAUUGAUAGUUGCCAUCAAGUAAAGUUGGGGACUCUAUCGAGACUGCCGGCGCAAGCUGUGAGGAAGGCGGGGAUGACGUCAAAUCAGCACGGCCCUUACGUCCGGGGCGACACACGUGUUACAAUGGUAGGUACAGCGGGAAGCCAUAUGGUGACAUAGAGCAGAACCCGAAAACCUAUCUCAGUUCGGAUUGUAGUCUGCAACUCGACUACAUGAAGCUGGAAUCGCUAGUAAUCGCGAAUCAGAAUGUCGCGGUGAAUACGUUCCCGGGUCUUG
This 1344-nucleotide ribosomal RNA is filed under the name uncultured bacterium. RNAcentral's name for it is "bacterial SSU rRNA". It matches the Rfam family "Bacterial small subunit ribosomal RNA", at positions 40 to 1383 of the family's 1533-position model. The record is from RNAcentral.